RNAcentral lists this ribosomal RNA (1008 nucleotides) under Triticum aestivum (bread wheat). RNAcentral describes it as "partial small subunit ribosomal RNA". The record is from RNAcentral. Lineage: Eukaryota; Viridiplantae; Streptophyta; Magnoliopsida; Poales; Poaceae.
AUGUUUACCAGUGAUACAAAUGUCUUAUCUGAAGAUACUGCAACAAUGGAAAUGGAUACUACACAACCAGAGCAAGUGUGGCACUUGUCCGUUCAUGCAGUGGCAGGCACAGAGGCACCAAGUUGCCUUCAAAUUCAUGGCUGGCUGCAAGGACAAGAGGUGUUGAUGCUGGUGGAUUCAGGAAUCUCAGCUUCAUUUGUCUCUCAGCACAUGCCAAGAACUAUCAAAGUUUCUGUUUCCAAUGGGGCAGAAUUGCAGUGUACUCAGGAGGUGCUCAACUGUCAGUGGUACACGCAAGGGCAAACAUUCUCCACCAAUUUCAAGGUUUUACCUCUGGGAUCUUAUGAUGUGAUCUUAGGCAUGGACUGGCUUGAGUACCACAGUCCUAUGUUGAUUGAUUGGCCACGUAGGUGCAUGCAAAUUGAAAAUUGUGGCUACACCAUACUGUUGCAAGGAGUGGCUGCUAAGAAUCAGUCUUGUGCUCUACUGUCCUGCACACAACUCGGCAGUAUAAACAAAAAUGCAGCAGUGGCAUAUGUAGUUCAGUUAUGCUAUUCUGAAGGGGCUGAAUCAGAGGUAACAGUGCAAGCACAGGAACUAUCACCUGACAUAGUGCAGUUACUACUGGAAUUUGAGGACAUUUUCUUGGAACCAACAGAGUUACCUCCGUCGAGAGACUGCAAUCAUAAAAUUCCCUUAAUGCAAGGAUCACAACCAGUUAACAUGCGGCAGUACAGGCACAAACCAGAACUCAAAACAGAAAUUGAACGCCAAGUGUUGGAGCUGCUCAAAGUUGGUAUUAUUCAGAAGAGCACAAGCCCAUUUUCUUCUCCUAUCAUCUUGGUGAAGAAGAAAGAUGGGACAUGGCGUCUGUGCAUAGACUAUCGUCGACUCAACGCAAUGACUAUCGUGAGCCGAUAUCCAGUGCCAAUCAUUGAGGGCAUCUUGGAUGAAUUAGCCGGUGCCCGUUGGUUCUCUAAGCUCGACCUCCGAGCAGGGUAUCAGUAG